UGAGUAAAGUGGCGUACGGGUGAGUAACACGUGGAUAAUCUACCUCUUAGUGGGGAAUAACUCUGGGAAACCGGAGCUAAUACCGCAUAAGCCUGGAAAGGGAAAGUCGCAAGACGCUGAGAGAGGAGUCCGCGGCCGAUUAGCUAGUUGGCAGGGUAAAAGCCUACCAAGGCAUUGAUCGGUAGCCGGCCUGAGAGGGCACACGGCCACACUGGCACUGAAACACGGGCCAG
This 233-nucleotide ribosomal RNA is filed under the name uncultured bacterium. Its description in RNAcentral is "partial 16S ribosomal RNA". It matches the Rfam family "Bacterial small subunit ribosomal RNA", at positions 87 to 334 of the family's 1533-position model. The record is from RNAcentral.